UUUUGUAGCACUGUUCAUUAUACACAAAUAUAUUUAGUUACAUUAACACAUACACAUUUAUUUUUAAGACAAAAUACAAGUGUAAUGUGUUAUGCUAAAUCAAUUUGUUAUUCACUCUGGUUUACCUAACUACCUAUCUUUAAACAAAAGUAAUUGGUUUACUUUUGCGAUAGAGAGUAGACCUAUUAUCAGGUUCAUAUUCCGGAACAGAGGGGGCGGUAAUGCUCCAUUAAGCUGGUUACCAAUCGCCGGUAAAAAAGAAAGAAGAAGAAGAAGAAUAUUUUUCAAACUAAAGGAUGUGACGUCAUUUUAACAACUUCCACGAAGACGGCGCGCAGGUGAUGGUGUGUCAUACCACAAUGACUUCUCCAGUCUGGCUAAAAGUUACAAAAGGUGAUCCUUCAGUAUGCCAUUCCUACUUCAGUGAGUGACUCAGGAAUCGCCUUCAAUAGCAGAUUUCAAAACUAGAUGGCCUGCUCUUUUCAGAUGGGAAGAGAUUUGUGCACAGUUUAAAAGAAUCACAACAGCCCCAUUGGUGUCUACAUACUUGGCGAAGAUGAAUCCAUAUUCUGCAAAGCUUAUAAGGAUCUAUGCAAAACGAGGAGUCGUCAAUGGACAGAGAAUUAAAAACCUGCUGGUCUCCACAACACUGACUGACAACAUUGAUCAGACUCCGAUCUUUCUUUGUCUACCUGAAUGAAGACCCGACCAGUCUAAUUAAAGAGUAUUUGGAUACAGAUGCACCCAGUACCCAGGAGGCGAUCCAGAAGAUGGUAAUGGGAGUGCUUGUUGUAAAAAUGUAUGGUUCAGACAUUGAAGACAGCCCAGCAGAUGUUGGAGUGUUAUUAAAGGGAUUAAGAGUUCUCGGACCUCAACAACAUUGUGUAUGCAACAACCAUGCUGAUGGGACUGAAAUAUGAACUGAACUUGAGCUACUUUCCCAAAUUCAGGUACACUUUUGAAGUAUUGCAGUUGUUGUUUCUGGAGCUAGAUGGGAAGUAACUAUCUCAUAAAGUUCAGACGCUGAAGACCAAGCCUUUUGCAGAUGUUUUGAGAAAGGAAUGUUUUAAUAUUUCAUAUGUAAAUGCCAUGUUUUUGAAAUGGCAGUACAAUAACAUUCAGGAAGUAAGCAGUGUCGUCAAUUUAUUUUGAUAGUUUUGCAGUGUGUUUCUAUUUAAUUAGAUUAAUGUAGAGUUGUUUAAAGCUUUGGCUGUACGUAAAUGGUCCUGCAUCUAAUUUGUCAUGGAAUGUUAACGUUUAUAAUGUUUUUACAGUACCAUUUAACUUAAAAUUAUACCAAAGUUGUUGAAAAAUCUUUGGAAGUCGCAUGUGCCAGCUCUCUGAAUGGAGAGCAACCUAUUUUGUCAGUUAGCAUUACAGUUGUGUAAUAAUGUUGUUUAAUUAUACGUAUCCAGGGACUUGAAAAAACUGCCUGAAUGGUGCUUCGUGCAUUUCAUUUGUCAGUAAGUGUAAAAAAUUGUAAUGUUAUAAGGUAACAUUGUAAUAUCCAAAGUCCUUGAAAAACUUUGCAAGUUUUUCAAGUUGAUGAGUGCAUCUCAUUUGUCGGUAUAUCCUUUACGGUAUCUGUAGUUUAAGUGCAAUAAACAUGGCUUGAAGAACUGGUGUCUGAGAAUCUUUUAUGAAUAAAAUGAAUGUUAUAUAGAGUUUAUUACAAAAAGUAUAUUUUUGUGUGUGAUUUAACUUGAAAUAGAAAUUGUUGUGUUAAAGUAAAUAAAAGUAAUUGGAUGGAACCACUGUCCACAAUGUAAAUGAGUUGUAUGAAUAAACUACUCUUGAUUUGGACAAGCAAAAAAUAUUUGAUUAGUUUGUACAAGUUAAACACAUGUUCA
Long non-coding RNA from Paramisgurnus dabryanus, 1850 nucleotides. RefSeq lists it as uncharacterized. The record is from RefSeq and is a predicted model, not a curated record. NCBI's taxonomy places the organism in Eukaryota, Metazoa, Chordata, Actinopteri, Cypriniformes, Cobitidae.